UUCUAUUUCAUUCGUCGGCCUCCAAUCUUGCUUUUUUUUUUCUUCAAUCUUUCUUUUCUCUUUUUCCGUUCCCCUUUACUCUCUUCUCUCCCAUUUUCCUUUUUCACAUUCUUUCUUUUCUUCCUCGUUCUGUAUUUCCUUUCAUUCAUUUUUUUCCUUUACAAACUUUGCAAAGCUGUUAAUGGGUUUGUUUACUUAGUACAAAAUAGAAGAUUUACAGAAGUUGGAGAAGAAGAGGUGAGAUUGAAACCUAGAUUUACUUGUUAUUCGACGUAAAAUAAAUAUAAAAG
RNAcentral lists this long non-coding RNA (290 nucleotides) under Erythranthe guttata (spotted monkey flower). RNAcentral's name for it is "long non-coding RNA (EGUT_LNC002463)". Lineage: Eukaryota; Viridiplantae; Streptophyta; Magnoliopsida; Lamiales; Phrymaceae. The record is from RNAcentral.